CUACGGGAGGCAGCAGUGGGGAAUAUUGCGCAAUGGGCGGAAGCCUGACGCAGCGACGCCGCGUGGGGGAUGACGGCCUUCGGGUUGUAAACCUCUUUCGCCAGGGACGAAGCUUUUGUGACGGUACCUGGAGAAGAAGCACCGGCCAACUACGUGCCAGCAGCCGCGGUAACACGUAGGGUGCGGGCGUUGUCCGGAAUUAUUGGGCGUAAAGAGCUCGUAGGCGGUGUGUCGCGUCGGCCGUGAAAACUUGGGGCUUAACUCUGAGCGUGCGGUCGAUACGGGCAUCACUUGAGUUCGGCAGGGGAGACUGGAAUUCCUGGUGUAGCGGUGAAAUGCGCAGAUAUCAGGAGGAACACCGGUGGCGAAGGCGGGUCUCUGGGCCGAUACUGACGCUGAGGAGCGAAAGCGUGGGGAGCGAACAGGAUUAGAUACCCUGGUAGUCCACGCCGUAAACGUUGGGCGCUAGGUGUGGGGACCAUUCCACGGUUUCUGUGCCGCAGCUAACGCAUUAAGCGCCCCGCCUGGGGAGUACGGCCGCAAGGCUAAAACUCAAAGGAAUUGACG
Molecule: ribosomal RNA, 567 nt
Filed under: uncultured bacterium
Lineage: Bacteria
Description: bacterial SSU rRNA
Rfam family: Bacterial small subunit ribosomal RNA
Source: RNAcentral